UAAAUACUCACUCCGUCCGGAAAUACUUGUCUUUGAAAUGGAUAAAAUGGAUGUAUCUAUACCUAAAAUAAGUCUAGAUACAACCAUUUCGAGGACAAAUAUUUCCGGACGGAGAGAUAUUUG
Non-coding RNA from Triticum urartu, 123 nucleotides. Lineage: Eukaryota; Viridiplantae; Streptophyta; Magnoliopsida; Poales; Poaceae. The record is from Rfam.